This 353-nucleotide unclassified non-coding RNA is filed under the name soil metagenome. RNAcentral's name for it is "partial contains 5.8S ribosomal RNA, internal transcribed spacer 2, and large subunit ribosomal RNA". The stretch from base 1 to 120 matches the Rfam family "5.8S ribosomal RNA", at positions 35 to 154 of the family's 154-position model. The record is from RNAcentral.
GAUGAAGAACGCAGCGAAAUGCGAUAAGUAAUGUGAAUUGCAGAAUUCAGUGAAUCAUCGAAUCUUUGAACGCACAUUGCGCCCGCCAGUAUUCUGGCGGGCAUGCCUGUUCGAGCGUCAUUACAACCCUCAGGCCCCCGGGCCUGGCGUUGGGGAUCGGCGGAUGCCCCCUGCGGGCACAACGCCGUCCCCCAAAUACAGUGGCGGUCCCGCCGCAGCUUCCAUUGCGUAGUAGCUAACACCUCGCAACUGGAGAGCGGCGCGGCCACGCCGUAAAACACCCAACUUCUGAAUGUUGACCUCGAAUCAGGUAGGAAUACCCGCUGAACUUAAGCAUAUCAAUAAGCGGAGGA